This 1007-nucleotide ribosomal RNA is filed under the name Homoiodoris japonica. RNAcentral's name for it is "16S ribosomal RNA". It matches the Rfam family "Bacterial large subunit ribosomal RNA", at positions 585 to 2695 of the family's 2925-position model. The record is from RNAcentral. Lineage: Eukaryota; Metazoa; Mollusca; Gastropoda; Nudibranchia; Dorididae.
ACAAAGUUAAUAUAUUAUACCUCUUGUAUAAUGGUUAUACAAAAAUCAUACCAAAUUGUAUUUCCCGAAUUAAGAGGAGCUAUUUGUUAGCAUGUUUUAGGCAUAAAAUAAGCUAUGUUGAAAUAUGGCUAUAAGACUCACAAAUAGGAGCGAAAAACUCUCAACUCUUAUGAUAUCUGGUAGUUUUAUAAAAGCAUCUAGUGCUGAGAAGUUAGAUAUGAAGUGAUUAGACUUUAUAUUAUUAGAAUUUUAAUACUAUUUGAAUUUUCUAUAGUUGACCCUAAAGAAGAUUUCAGACAAAAACAUAAAUUAUUUCUAAAAUCUAGACUGUAUAAAACCUCACUUAAAAACUUACUAUUAGUGCUAAUUAUGUAUAAAUGAGUAAUAAAAUAAUAAAUCCUAAUAACUUUAUUAGAAAUCAAAUCUACUAAAAUUAAUAAACUAGAAGGAACUCGGCAAAGAAGAGCUUCGACUGUUUAACAAAAACAUAGCCUUAAGUUAAUAAUUUAAGGUUAGACCUGCCCAAUGUUAAUUUAUCAAUGGCCGCGGUACCCUGACCGUGCUAAGGUAGCGCAAUAGAUUGGCCUUUAAUUGAGGUCAAGUAUGAAUGGAGUCACGGGGCUCAGCUGUCUCCUAAGUUUAUCUGUUGAAAUUACUUUUCAGGUGAAAAAGCCUGAAAAAAGAAAAGGGACGAGAAGACCCUUAGAGUUUGACUUAAACCAAAUUAUUAUCUGGUCUAGUUUAGUUGGGGCAACUCGGGAACAACAACAUAAUUUCCUGAAAAUACAAACCGAUUUUUAUAAAUCUGAAUAAACUACCUUAGGGAUAACAGCAUAAUUUUAAAAAUAAGUUUAUGACCUCGAUGUUGGACUAGGAAACCUGCAGGCUAGCCGCCUUCAGGGUAAGUUCUGUUCGAACUUUUAUUCCUACAUGAUCUGAGUUCAGACCGGCGCAAGCCAGGUCAGAUUCUAUCUUUUUACUCUAAAAACUUAGUACGAAAGGACCAG